CAGAACUAUAUAAUACUAGUCUACAUGUUAAUAGCACUGCCCAUUUUUACUUACGAUCAAUUCUGGAUAUCAGACAAAUAACCUUAUUAUAUGGGGUAAAAUGCGAAAGGCAUACCGACUACAGAAUAGGAAGGAUGCUAGCAAAAACAUCAGAAAAGUUUAAAAUGAUACUUCGAGAUUGUGUUAAGCAAUUUUCAAACUAUUUUGUUCACCCAGAACUUGAUAUUUAAAUUGUUUCAAUAAGUUGUGAAAUAUAGUACAAGUGAAUCAAUCAGUGAACGGUCAACCAUUAAUGCCCGACCUUGUAAGAGGGAACAUGAUCAACUGGACCGCAAAAUGAUUCCAGUCCGCGCCAGUCUGGUAGACUUCCGAGUUGUAGGUAACGCCGGGGCGGGUCUAUAACGCCUUCUGCUGGACCAGCCCUGGAAGUGCUGACUUAAACAUUUCAUUAGGGUUAUAUAUAACCAAAACCGUUCUACAUUGGUAGGUGUUUAAAAAAAGGAAUACAAACUACUGGAAAACAUUUAUGGAGACAAAUUUAUUAUUUGACCUAUUACCAGAACAGAAAAUGUAAUCUUUCAGCUGUUGAAAAAAUAUCUGAAUGGUGACAAAAUCUUUCAAACAAUGUGUGCAAAAAACCCCAAUGAUAAAGUAAUGGAACAAGAUACAUUAAGUUGAUAUCAAGAUAUUCACAUUCGGUGAUUGGCAUUGAAUUUUUCAGUUUCUCUCUGUAAAAUAUAACAUGAAGUUUAGCAGCCACUAGAGUACUAUCACCAGGACUAGACUGUUCACCUGGACAAAUCUGCUGAUGGUUUUUGCGCUGGUGUUAAGGUGUUAUUUCAAAAACGCAUACUGAUUAUUAUUGUAUUGUGUGAGUAUGCAUGAUUGACUCACUGGUGUUACAGCCUCUGUCAUGUGUCAACAGAACAUAACCUGAUAAGAAUAUCAAGGUGGACUCAUAGAAGUCUUGUUGGAAAUGUUUCUAUAACCCCAUGCUGUAGGCGGUCUGCCUGCUUGAACUUGUAUUAACCCAGAAGGGCUUUAGACUGACUAUUAAUCAACAACUGUUCUUUGUUAUUCAUCUAAAAAUCCCCUUUACACACAAAUGAUCAACAACCGCAUUAUCAACCCCUGGUAAAGCCCUUGGAGUCAAUGUAAAGUAGCGAGAUUAUAUAUUUUCAGCAAUGGGGUCUAUGUUCAGUGGAAGGGUCUAUGUUCAGUAUAAAGAUCUAUGUUCAGCAGCGGGGUCUAUGUUCAGCAGCAGGGUCUAUGUUCAGCAGUGGGGUCUAUGUUCAGCAGCGGGGUCCAUAUUCAACAGUGGGGUCUAUGUUCAGUAGAAGGGUCGAUGUUAAGCAGUGGGGAAGCACAGGAUUUCAGACACAAACUUUGAUGUCCAGUUGUGACCUGCCCUUCGCAAACUCCUUUAGCCUCUUGACUCCCUCCUUAGAAAACUUGUUGUCAAACAACC
Esox lucius (northern pike) is the source of this 1468-nucleotide long non-coding RNA. The record is from Ensembl. NCBI's taxonomy places the organism in Eukaryota, Metazoa, Chordata, Actinopteri, Esociformes, Esocidae.